This 200-nucleotide ribosomal RNA is filed under the name uncultured bacterium. RNAcentral's name for it is "partial 16S ribosomal RNA". It matches the Rfam family "Bacterial small subunit ribosomal RNA", at positions 28 to 233 of the family's 1533-position model. The record is from RNAcentral.
GUUGAACGCUGGCGGCAGGCCUAACACAUGCAAGUCGAGCGCGAAAGUUCUUCGGAAUGAGUAAAGCGGCGGACGGGUGAGUAAUACAUGGGAAUCUGCCUGGUAGUGGGGGACAACGUUUCGAAAGGAACGCUAAUACCGCAUACGCCCUACGGGGGAAAGGGGGGGAUCUUCGGACCUCUCGCUAUCAGAUGAGCCCA